UAAAGGAAUUGGCGGGGGAGCACAGCAACGGGUGGAGCGUGCGGUUUAAUUGGAUUCAACGCCGGAAAGCUACCGGGGGAGACUGCCGUAUGUGGGCCAGGCUGAAGACCUUGCCCGAACAAUUGGCAGAGAGGUGGUGCAUGGCCGUCGUCAGCUCGUACCGUAAGGCGUUCUGUUAAGUCAGGUAACGAGCGAGACCCCCGCCCUUAGUUGCUAUCUGUCCCUCCGGGGACAGAGCACACUAAGGGGACCGCUGGCGAUAAGCCAGAGGAAGGAGGGGGCAACGGUAGGUCAGUAUGCCCUGAAUCCCCCGGGCUACACGCGCGCUACAAAGGCUGGGACAAUGGGUUGCGACCCCGAAAGGGGGAGCUAAUCCCUAAACCCAGUCGUAGUUCGGAUCGAGGGUUGCAACUCACCCUCGUGAAGCUGGAUUCCGUAGUAAUCGCGGGUCAACAUCCCGCGGUGAAUACGUCCCUGCUCCUUGCACACACCGCCA
RNAcentral lists this ribosomal RNA (496 nucleotides) under uncultured archaeon. RNAcentral describes it as "bacterial SSU rRNA". It matches the Rfam family "Archaeal small subunit ribosomal RNA", at positions 857 to 1351 of the family's 1478-position model. The record is from RNAcentral.